AAUUGUAUAAUAUUUUAUAAAAAGUAUAUGUUGUUUACAACAAUAAAGAGAAAAAAGUUCUACAAUUU
RNAcentral lists this transfer RNA (68 nucleotides) under Achatinella fulgens. Its description in RNAcentral is "tRNA-Val". Lineage: Eukaryota; Metazoa; Mollusca; Gastropoda; Stylommatophora; Achatinellidae. The record is from RNAcentral.